CUGGUGGAAGAAAGUUCCUGCUGGUGUUGCCAUGGAAGCUGAUUUCUACACAUCAGAAGCACGAAAAUCUGAAGGCUGCUGAACUGGAGCUGGUGGUUAGAACAGCCACUGUUAUUAUCCCAAACCAAAAGGAGGGUGGUAAUAAUGACGACCACGGAUUCUUAAAUAUGUCUUCCGUCCUCAAUGAUUUCAAAGUUCCCAGGAAACGGCCUCACAUGAAGUGCCAGCAUGGCCAAGCAAGUUCAUCCAGCUGAAGUCCACCCCUGUACUAAAGAUAUCAUAGGUUGGGACUGCAGACAAAUUUUAUGUUGCUUAGAUCUCAACUUUAUUGCUUAAGAUAAGGACAUUGAGGCCGAGAGAUGCGGAAGUGCCCGGCCUACAGUGGUACUGCCAGCUAGAAGCUGGGCAAGGCUCCCAGCUCAAGAAGCUGCUACCCUCGCCUUAGAAAACCAAUCGCUUGGCUGCAGCUGUGAGAAGCUUUGGCACUCUAAGAGAUAUCUUUCCUUUUGCAUAGGAAUUCUGGGGGCACUUGCUUCUGGUGAUAAACAGGCAGAAUAAUGGCUUAA
Non-coding RNA from Myodes glareolus (Bank vole), 566 nucleotides. NCBI's taxonomy places the organism in Eukaryota, Metazoa, Chordata, Mammalia, Rodentia, Cricetidae. The record is from RefSeq and is a predicted model, not a curated record.